GUGAAGAACGCAGCGAAAUGCGAUAAGUAGUGUGAAUUGCAGAAUUCAGUGAAUCAUCGAAUCUUUGAACGCACAUUGCGCCCUUUGGUAUUCCAAAGGGCAUGCCUGUUCGAGCGUCAUUUGUACCCUCAAGCUUUGCUUGGUGUUGGGCGUCUUGUCUCUAGCUUUGCUGGAGACUCGCCUUAAAGUAAUUGGCAGCCGGCCUACUGGUUUCGGAGCGCAGCACAAGUUGCACUCUCUAUCAGCAAAGGUCUAGCAUCCAUUAAGCCUUUUUUUCAACUUUUGACCUCGGAUCAGGUAGGGAUACCCGCUGAACUUAAGCAUAUCAAUAAGCGGAGGA
This 340-nucleotide unclassified non-coding RNA is filed under the name soil metagenome. RNAcentral describes it as "partial contains 5.8S ribosomal RNA, internal transcribed spacer 2, and large subunit ribosomal RNA". The stretch from base 2 to 119 matches the Rfam family "5.8S ribosomal RNA", at positions 37 to 154 of the family's 154-position model. The record is from RNAcentral.